Molecule: ribosomal RNA, 468 nt
Filed under: uncultured bacterium
Lineage: Bacteria
Description: partial 16S ribosomal RNA
Rfam family: Bacterial small subunit ribosomal RNA
Source: RNAcentral
GAUGAACGCUGACAGAAUGCUUAACACAUGCAAGUCUACUUGAAUUUGGGUUUUUUAACUUAGAUUUGGGUGGCGGACGGGUGAGUAACGCGUAAAGAACUUGCCUCACAGCUAGGGACAACAUUUGGAAACGAAUGCUACUAACUGAUAUUAUGAUUAUAAGGCAUCUUAGUAUUAUGAAAGAUAUAUGCGCUGUGAGAGAGCUUUGCGUCCCAUUAGCUAGUUGGAGAGGUAACGGCUCACCAAGGCGAUGAUGGGUAGCCGGCCUGAGAGGGUGAACGGCCACAAGGGGACUGAGACACGGCCCUUACUCCUACGGGAGGCAGCAGUGGGGAAUAUUGGACAAUGGACCAAGAGUCUGAUCCAGCAAUUCUGUGUGCACGAUGACGUUUUUCGGAAUGUAAAGUGCUUUCAGUUGGGAAGAAAAAAAUGACGGUACCAACAGAAGAAGUGACGGCUAAAUACGUG